GAGCUCGCCGCGGACUCAAGAUGGCGGCGUGUGGACGUGUACGGAGGAUGUUCCGCUUGUCGGCGGCGCUGCAUCUGCUGCUGCUAUUCGCGGCCGGGGCCGAGAAACUCCCCGGCCAGGGCGUCCACAGCCAGGGCCAGGGUCCCGGGGCCAACUUUGUGUCCUUCGUAGGGCAGGCCGGAGGCGGCGGCCCGGCGGGUCAGCAGCUGCCCCAGCUGCCUCAGUCAUCGCAGCUUCAGCAGCAACAGCAGCAGCAGCAACAGCAACAGCAGCCUCAGCCGCCGCAGCCGCCUUUCCCGGCGGGUGGGCCUCCGGCCCGGCGGGGAGGAGCGGGGGCUGGUGGGGGCUGGAAGCUGGCGGAGGAAGAGUCCUGCAGGGAGGACGUGACCCGCGUGUGCCCUAAGCACACCUGGAGCAACAACCUGGCGGUGCUCGAGUGCCUGCAGGAUGUGAGGGAGCCUGAAAAUGAAAUUUCUUCAGACUGCAAUCAUUUGUUGUGGAAUUAUAAGCUGAACCUAACUACAGAUCCCAAAUUUGAAUCUGUGGCCAGAGAGGUUUGCAAAUCUACUAUAACAGAGAUUAAAGAAUGUGCUGAUGAACCGGUUGGAAAAGGUUACAUGGUUUCCUGCUUGGUGGAUCACCGAGGCAACAUCACUGAGUAUCAGUGUCACCAGUACAUUACCAAGAUGACGGCCAUCAUUUUUAGUGAUUACCGUUUAAUCUGUGGCUUCAUGGAUGACUGCAAAAAUGACAUCAACAUUCUGAAAUGUGGCAGUAUUCGGCUUGGAGAAAAGGAUGCACAUUCACAAGGUGAGGUGGUAUCAUGCUUGGAGAAAGGCCUGGUGAAAGAAGCAGAAGAAAGAGAACCCAAGAUUCAAGUUUCUGAACUCUGCAAGAAAGCCAUUCUCCGGGUGGCUGAGCUGUCAUCGGAUGACUUUCACUUAGACCGGCAUUUAUAUUUUGCUUGCCGAGAUGAUCGGGAGCGUUUUUGUGAAAAUACACAAGCUGGUGAGGGCAGAGUGUAUAAGUGCCUCUUUAACCAUAAAUUUGAAGAAUCCAUGAGUGAAAAGUGUCGAGAAGCACUUACAACCCGCCAAAAGCUGAUUGCCCAGGAUUAUAAAGUCAGUUAUUCAUUGGCCAAAUCCUGUAAAAGUGACUUGAAGAAAUACCGGUGCAAUGUGGAAAACCUUCCGCGAUCGCGUGAAGCCAGGCUCUCCUACUUGUUAAUGUGCCUGGAGUCAGCUGUACACAGAGGGCGACAAGUCAGCAGUGAGUGCCAGGGGGAGAUGCUGGAUUACCGACGCAUGUUGAUGGAAGACUUUUCUCUGAGCCCUGAGAUCAUCCUAAGCUGUCGGGGGGAGAUUGAACACCAUUGUUCCGGAUUACAUCGAAAAGGGCGGACCCUACACUGUCUGAUGAAAGUAGUUCGAGGGGAGAAGGGGAACCUUGGAAUGAACUGCCAGCAGGCGCUUCAAACACUGAUUCAGGAGACUGACCCUGGUGCAGAUUACCGCAUUGAUCGAGCUUUGAAUGAAGCUUGUGAAUCUGUAAUCCAGACAGCCUGCAAACAUAUAAGAUCUGGAGACCCAAUGAUCUUGUCGUGCCUGAUGGAACAUUUAUACACAGAGAAGAUGGUAGAAGACUGUGAACACCGUCUCUUAGAGCUGCAGUAUUUCAUCUCCCGGGAUUGGAAGCUGGACCCUGUCCUGUACCGCAAGUGCCAGGGAGACGCUUCUCGUCUUUGCCACACCCACGGUUGGAAUGAGACCAGUGAAUUUAUGCCUCAGGGAGCUGUGUUCUCUUGUUUAUACAGACACGCCUACCGCACUGAGGAACAGGGAAGGAGGCUCUCACGGGAGUGCCGAGCUGAAGUCCAAAGGAUCCUACACCAGCGUGCCAUGGAUGUCAAGCUGGAUCCUGCCCUCCAGGAUAAGUGCCUGAUUGAUCUGGGAAAAUGGUGCAGUGAGAAAACAGAGACUGGACAGGAGCUGGAGUGCCUUCAGGACCAUCUGGAUGACUUGGUGGUGGAGUGUAGAGAUAUAGUUGGCAACCUCACUGAGUUAGAAUCAGAGGCCGAAAGGGAAUAUGUCUUUAAAAAUUUGCCUUUCAAAGUAUAACGGAGGAGCAGUUCUAUAUUUAUUCUGGGGCUAUCUACUUCAAAUACUAGAAUCGUUUCCAAAAGAUAUUCAAAUAGAAGCCUUGCUGAUGAGAGCCUGUGAGCCCAUAAUUCAGAACUUCUGCCACGAUGUGGCAGAUAACCAGAUAGACUCUGGGGACCUGAUGGAGUGUCUGAUACAGAACAAACACCAGAAGGACAUGAACGAGAAGUGUGCCAUCGGAGUUACCCACUUCCAGCUGGUGCAGAUGAAGGAUUUUCGGUUUUCUUACAAGUUUAAAAUGGCCUGCAAGGAGGACGUGUUGAAGCUUUGCCCAAACAUAAAAAAGAAGGUGGACGUGGUGAUCUGCCUGAGCACGACCGUGCGCAAUGACACUCUGCAGGAAGCCAAGGAGCACAGGGUGUCCCUGAAGUGCCGCAGGCAGCUCCGUGUGGAGGAGCUGGAGAUGACGGAGGACAUCCGCUUGGAGCCAGAUCUAUACGAAGCCUGCAAGAGUGACAUCAAAAACUUCUGUUCCGCUGUGCAAUAUGGCAACGCUCAGAUUAUCGAAUGUCUGAAAGAAAACAAGAAGCAGCUAAGCACCCGCUGCCACCAAAAAGUAUUUAAGCUGCAGGAGACAGAGAUGAUGGACCCAGAGCUAGACUACACCCUCAUGAGGGUCUGCAAGCAGAUGAUAAAGAGGUUCUGUCCGGAAGCAGAUUCUAAAACCAUGUUGCAGUGCUUGAAGCAAAAUAAAAACAGUGAAUUGAUGGAUCCCAAAUGCAAACAGAUGAUAACCAAGCGCCAGAUCACCCAGAACACAGAUUACCGCUUAAACCCCAUGUUAAGAAAAGCCUGUAAAGCUGACAUUCCUAAAUUCUGUCACGGUAUCCUGACUAAGGCCAAGGAUGAUUCAGAAUUAGAAGGACAAGUCAUCUCUUGCCUGAAGCUGAGAUAUGCUGACCAGCGCCUGUCUUCAGACUGUGAAGACCAGAUCCGAAUCAUUAUCCAGGAGUCCGCCCUGGACUACCGCCUGGAUCCUCAGCUCCAGCUGCACUGCUCAGACGAGAUCUCCAGUCUAUGUGCUGAAGAAGCAGCAGCCCAAGAGCAGACAGGUCAGGUGGAGGAGUGCCUCAAGGUCAACCUGCUCAAGAUCAAAACAGAAUUGUGUAAAAAGGAAGUGCUAAACAUGCUGAAGGAAAGCAAAGCAGACAUCUUUGUUGACCCGGUACUUCAUACUGCUUGUGCCCUGGACAUUAAACACCACUGCGCAGCCAUCACCCCUGGCCGCGGGCGUCAAAUGUCCUGUCUCAUGGAAGCACUGGAGGAUAAGCGGGUGAGGUUACAGCCCGAGUGCAAAAAGCGCCUCAAUGACCGGAUUGAGAUGUGGAGUUACGCAGCAAAGGUGGCCCCAGCAGAUGGCUUCUCUGAUCUUGCCAUGCAAGUAAUGACGUCUCCAUCUAAGAACUACAUUCUCUCUGUGAUCAGUGGGAGCAUCUGUAUAUUGUUCCUGAUUGGCCUGAUGUGUGGACGGAUCACCAAGCGAGUGACACGAGAGCUCAAGGACAGGUAGAGCCACCUUGACCACCAAAGGAACUACCUAUCCAGUGCCCAGUUUGUACAGCCCUCUUGUAUAGCAUCCCCACUCACCUCGCUCUUCUCAGAAGUGACACCAACCCCGUGUUAGAGCAUUAGCAGAUGUCCACUGCGUUGUCCCAUCCAGCCUCCACUCGUGUCCAUGGUGUCCUCCUCCUCCUCACCGUGCAGCAGCAGCAGCUGGUCGCUGGGGUUACUGCCUUUGUUUGGCAAACUUGGGUUUACCUGCCUGUAGACAAGUCUCUCUCAUACCAACAGAACUUCCGGUACUUCCAGAACCAACUCACCUGACCUGCAACUCAAAGGCUUUUUUAAGAAAACCACCAAAAAAAAAAAUUUUUUUAAAGAAAAAAAUGUAUAUAGUAACGCAUCUCCUCCAGGCUUGAUUUGGGCAAUGGGGUUAUGUCUUUCAUAUGACUGUGUAAAACAAAGACAGGACUUGGAGGGGAAGCACACCACCCAGUGUGCCAUGACUGAGGUGUCUCGUUCAUCUCUCAGAAGCACCUUGGGGCCUCGCCAGGGCCGUGGUCUUCACCGAGGCGUGGGUGGGCAGCCGUUCCCCAGGCUGUGUGGGGUCCUGCUUUCUUCUGCUGAGACAGUGACGCUUUCCAGUUUCCACCCUAAUCAGCCACUGCUGGUCACAGCCCCACAGCCAUGGGUAUUUCUGUGGUCUCCUCGCUUCAUUGAAGCAAAGCAUGAGCCUUCCUAGACAAGGGCAGCUGGGGAGGGGAAGGGACCGGAAGUUUGUGAAGUUGAACAGUCCAUCCAUCUGCACUGAGAGGCUGGAUCCUGAGUCCCGGGGCAGCAGGAUCCCAGGAACCUUCCUCCUCCAGGGCAGCACAGGACUCAGCCAUGUCUGGACCGGCCCUGCUGAGGCUACAGUCACUCUGGAAGCUCUGCGCUUCAUCAGGAGGCAGGACUGUGGCGGGAGGGGUCCUUGAAGAUGGGUGUGGGGAGCAGUGGGUCAGGAAGUGGGAGCCAGAGGUUUGACUCACUUUGCUUUAUUUUUCAGGCUACAAUACAGGUCAGAGACAAUGGCUUAUAAAGGUUUAGUGUGGUCUCAGGAUGUGACAGGCAGUCCAGCCUGACCUUUCUGCACACUCCAGACAAACUUCCCAGACAAGCUCCUUUGUGCCUCUACGUGGAGAGGGUGUGGAAAGUUAUCACAUUAAAAGAUGGAGGAUUUGCUCUGUUUUUUUUCUUUCUGUCCAUUUGCUGCGUGUACCCACUCUAGUAGGCAUUGGCUAAAUGUUGUAUUUUGGCGAUUCAUCAACCUUUGCAGAAUAUGGGCUUUAUAGAAGCAAUAUUCUUGGCCAUCCCGCCUCAUUCCUCCAGUGUGGAGAUGACAAGUCUGGGUGUGAGAGGGAGGGGUCCGGGCAUCAUGGUUCAGCGUGGCACUCCUUUGGUUGAGUUUGGGGCAUGAGAUCACAGUGGCUGCACAAGAGAGCAGUGUGUACAGUAGGAGAGACAUUUAUGUAAUAUAUAUUUUAUUAACCUGUUAGAUGUCCACAAAGUAUUAUAAAUCACGUGCCUAAAACUGUCCAUGUAGACCAAGGCCUGCCCUCGGCGCCCCCCACUCUUGCCUCUGCUCUGCACAGUCCACGUGCACUGCAGGACCGGAGCGACACAUGUCUUCCCUGAAGGGUGUUCAGUACAAGGCGUGUCAGUUUGUGGAUCAGUUGAUCCAAGUUACUCCUUGUCUAACCUGACUGACAUAUAUUUGAAUACUGUGGUUUUCUUUCUUUUUUUUCUAUUUGCUGCCCUUCCUGGAGGCAGUGGGUUCCAGAAGCCAACUGAUUGUCCCCCUGCCAAGUCACCAAGGGAAGCUGCUAAGCUGCUUAGUCCCCUCGGUCCUGCUUGUAGGGUCUUCCUGAUUGUCAACAGCUGUCUGGGAUGCUUCAGUCUCCUAAAACUGGAAACGCAGGGUGCGAGCAGCACACACUGCCUCCCGCCACUGCCAGCCGGAGUGAGCGGCCCGAGAGUCUCUGCAGGUUCCCCUGGGGGCUGGGGGCCGCUGAGGCCUAAUAUCAAGAGCCAGGAAUGUCAUGUACAUGGAGGUGCCUACGGACGUGCCUGGUGUGGUUUGCAGGUAGGAUGGAUGUUCACUGUUUGACCGGGUGGGGUAUCCUUCCUCUCUGCAGUCUCCUUCCCAGUAUGCGUAAACACCCUUAUAGUUCUAAUUGUGUUGAUAUUUCUGUUCUUUCUGAAUUGAGAGAAAAUCCCAUUCGUUGUCUGCAGAUUUGGAAGUUUGAUGAGGAAUUUGGUUCUUGAAACAUCUGUCUUUUUUUUUUUUUUUGAGACAGAGUAUCUCUCUGUUGCCCAGGCUGCAGUGCAGUGGCGCGAUCUCAGCUCCCUGCAACCUCCACCUCCUGGGUUCAAGCAAUUCUCUGCCUCAGCCUCCUGAGUAGCUGGGAUUCCAGGCACCCGCCACCACGCCUGGCUUAUUUUUGUAUUUUUAGUAGAGAUGGGGUUUCACCAUCUUGGCCAGGCUGGUCUUGAACUCCUGAUCUCAUGAUCCACCCGCCUCAGCUUCCCAAAGUGCUGGGAUUACAGGUGUGAGCCACCCUGCCUGGCCAAAACAUUUGUCAUCUUUAUAAAUGGUCAGAAUAGAAAAGUUAGCUCUGCCAGUAUCUUCAAUUACUUAUUACAAGAAUGUCUUUCAUCAUCUUACUUGGAGCAUUUUCCAAUGACUGGCUCUUGAGAGCCCCAGGCAGGGCCCCGAGCAAGUUUUUCUAAGUGCCAAGGCCAGCAAAGUCUGAACUGGCCGCACUCAUUAAGUCCCUCAUUUGGCAAAACAAAACAGGGCCUGGGGCACCCCUGGUUCCUGGCCUUAUAGGUCAGUCAACUGGCUGAGAAAUGGUCAAGAAAAGAAACAAUGACCCUUCUGUGGAUGUGAGUGGAUGAUGGACUCUGGCCUGUGUCUACUCUCCUGAUGUGUAGCCCACCAACAGUAAUAGAAGUAGAGGGUAGGGGGUUUUGCCAAGGCUAAGGCUUCAGGUACUUGCUAACAGUUAUAGCAGCUGGGUCACUGUCAUCUGGACUUACCAGUUCAUGCCAGUGUCCCUGUGACUUAUGCAUAGUGUGCGCCACAGCCCUCUAGAGGUACCUGGAGCCCGGACUGCCAGGCUGGAGGCUCUGGGGUACUGAAGGUGAGCUGUCUGGGCAAACUAUUAAGAACAAGACGAACUGUUCACAAUGGAGCUUCUCCCACAGAUGGGGAGCUCUGUGAGGCCUUCACCUGGGUGCAUGUUGGACUUCCAUUGCUGUUGCUGUUGUCCCUAGACAAGCCCGUUAGCAAGAAGCACCGGCAGGGGAGCCAUGCACUCCAUAGGCUUGGGAUCACCCCCGGGAAAGCGAUCUUCCCCGGGCUACCACCCCCAGCUGCAGUUCUGUGUUAGUGCAUCCUUCAAAGCUAGGAGAAUUCUAGGGUGACCAGUGAGCUAAUGUUGAGUGAGCAGGUAUUGACUUGAACACACUGCAGGCCUUUGGCUGUCUCAUGCUGUCCUUACUCUUCUUGGGAACAGUGAGUCACUCAGCUGGCCAGGGUGGGGAUGCAUCCUGGUGAAGAGACAGCUUUCCCUGAAGAUGCUACAGAAAGUUACUGUCAGAUUUCAUUUGUUUCUGUUUCCUGAGAUCAACUAACAGAAGAAUCUAAUGGUGAGAGUGUCUUCAUUCAUGUUUUACGUUUUAUCAAGGCACACUGGAAAGGGAAUUAUGUGGCUGACUUCCCUUGGCCUUCCCAAGAGAAGAUUCUGUUCUUAUGUCAGUGUGGCUUCUGGAAGUGUCUCCUAUCCUCCCAUCCUCCAGGCCUGUGGUGUGACUUCUGCCCCGAAGUUCCUACUAUAGUGAGUCAUCUGGGGAGAGGCCACUGAAAAGAGGCCUUCCCUUCCCAUUUCCUCCCCUGCCUCCUUAGAACACACUCUAAGUCAGAACUUAAUCUAAGAAGAAGGAAGCUGGACCAGGAACCUUGGAAGUCAGCCAGCCCUAGAACAGUCAGCCUAAAUUUUGGCCGUAAUGGCUUUUUUGGUUUUUUGUUUUGUUUCUGAGAUGGAGUCUCACUCCGUUGCCAGGCUGGAGUGCUGUGGCGCUAUCUCAGCUUACCGAAUCCUCCGACUCCCUGGUUCAAGCGAUUGUCCUGCCUCAGCCUCCGGAGUAGCUGGGAUUACAGGCAUGCACCACCACACCCAGCUAAUUUUUGUAUUUUUAGUAGAGACGGGGUUUCACCGUGUUGUCCAGGAUGGUCUCCAUCUCCUGACCUCAUGAUGUGCCCACUUCGGCCUUCCAAAGUGGCCGCAAAGUGGCCCACUUCGGCCAAAGUGCACUUCGGCCUUCCAAAGUGCAUUACAGGCGUGAGCCACCACGCCCGGCCUGGCCUUUUUUUUUUUUUUCUUUUGAGACACAGUUUCACUCGUUGCCCAGGCUGGAGUGCAGUGGCGCAAUCUCGGCUCACUGCAACUUCUGCCUCCUAGGUUCAAGCAGUUCUCCUGCCUCAGCCUCCCAAGUAGUUGGGAUUACGGGCAUGCACCACCAUGCCUGGAUAAUUUUUUCUUAUUUUUAGUAGAGACAGGAUUUCAUCAUGUUGGCCACGCUGGUUUCGAACUCCUGACCACAUGUGGUCCACCCACCUUGGCCUCAAUUAUGUGCAUUUUGGUAUAUUUACUUGUAUUUCAACAUCUUGUGAGUUUGAAAAACCUGAAAGGCCAGAAUGCUUCCUUUUAUUUCUCACCAUUUGGGCAGCACCUAAGUGGUUUUGUAAAAUGCAGCAUCUGGUGCUGUGGGUCUCUCUCAGGCCUUGAGGGACACUUCCUUCCUCCCCACUCGCCUCCUCUCCACUAGACUUUGGUUCCUAGAGGGCGUGGGGCCGGGUCUGAGGUUCUUGCCUGCCUUCCCUCCCAUUGGUCUUUGGUUGCUCAUCCCUCUAACUGCACCCCUUCUUGGUCCUUCCUCCACAGACUUCAGAUAAUAGAUAAGUCAUUAGCAAACCAGACCGAAUCUUUAGGGUGAAGAGCUCCCCAAAGCCAUCUGGUGAGGUCAUUGUGGGGACCAGGGACUGAUUAUUUGUCACCUGGAUCACAAAGAUGGGACUGUCUGCUCAGGCUGGUGGUGACAGGAUCCUGACCCGUGGUCCUCUCCCGCUCCCUCUGCUCCACCAGGACACAUGUAUAGGACACUGUGCUGUGUGCAGUGGAGAAAUCUCCCUGGGCCAGGGGAAAGUUCAGACAGUGCCUCUAGAUUGUGUUUUGCCUCCUCCAAUGUAGAGUUGACAUCUGGACCCCAGAGCCCAGCAGGGCUUUCUGUCAGACAUGCUAGGGUGGUAGAAAUGGGCCCUCCAGGUCCCCCUGCAGUGCACUGGGCAGAGACCUCCGGAAAGCCGGCAGCGGGAGCGCUUCCUGGGCAGCUUCCCCCAGCACAGUGUUCCCAAACCAGUCCAUCCGGAAAACAGUCUGUACAGCAAAUGCUGUGUGAGAUCUUAGGCUUUUCACUUUUUUUGUUUUGUUUUGUUUUUGAAAGAAAGAAAAAAAUACAAUUAACAAGCCUCUUUUGUAAAUGGGUUUCCUUUCUAUGUAUAAAAUCGUGGUGGUCCCUUGUUUUUACAUGUUCAUGCUGUGUAAUUUUGAGAUGUUACUGAGAUAUGUUCUGAACAUAAUGUGCAUUUUUUUCUGUACAGAUGAAAUGGGAGAAUUUAAUAAAGAGUUUGCAGGUU
RNA transcript from Homo sapiens (human), 9396 nucleotides. It is a transcript of the gene named golgi glycoprotein 1, with no coding region annotated. NCBI's taxonomy places the organism in Eukaryota, Metazoa, Chordata, Mammalia, Primates, Hominidae. The transcript is spliced from 27 exons. The record is from RefSeq and is marked validated.